UACGAAGGGGGCUAGCGUUGCUCGGAAUUACUGGGCGUAAAGGGCGCGUAGGCGGCCAACUAAGCCAGACGUGAAAUCCCUCGGCUCAACCGGGGAACUGCGUCUGAUACUGGAUGGCUUGAAUUCGGGAGAGGGAUGCGGAAUUCCAGGUGUAGCGGUGAAAUGCGUAGAUAUCUGGAGGAACACCGGUGGCGAAGGCGGCAUCCUGGACCGAGAUUGACGCUGAUGCGCGAAAGCCAGGGGAGCAAACGGG
RNAcentral lists this ribosomal RNA (253 nucleotides) under uncultured bacterium. Its description in RNAcentral is "partial 16S ribosomal RNA". It matches the Rfam family "Bacterial small subunit ribosomal RNA", at positions 524 to 776 of the family's 1533-position model. The record is from RNAcentral.